CCAGGCCUUGACAUGCAGAGAACUUUCCAGAGAURGAUUGGUGSCUUCGGGAACUCUGACACAGRUGCUGCAUGGCUGUYGUCAGCUCGUGUCGUGAGAUGUUGGGUUAAGUCCCGUAACGAGCGCAACCCUUGUCCUUAGUUACCAGCACGUUAUGGUGGGCACUCUAAGGAGACUGCCGGUGACAAACCGGAGGAAGGUGGGGAUGACGUCAAGUCAUCAUGGCCCUUACGGCCUGGGCUACACACGUGCUACAAUGGUCGGUACAGAGGGUUGCCAAGCCGCGAGGUGGAG
Molecule: ribosomal RNA, 294 nt
Filed under: Pseudomonas sp.
Lineage: Bacteria; Pseudomonadati; Pseudomonadota; Gammaproteobacteria; Pseudomonadales; Pseudomonadaceae
Description: partial 16S ribosomal RNA
Rfam family: Bacterial small subunit ribosomal RNA
Source: RNAcentral